Molecule: transfer RNA, 71 nt
Filed under: Bos taurus (domestic cattle)
Lineage: Eukaryota; Metazoa; Chordata; Mammalia; Artiodactyla; Bovidae
Also listed under: 5 other names
Rfam family: tRNA
About the family: Transfer RNA (tRNA) molecules are approximately 80 nucleotides in length. Their secondary structure includes four short double-helical elements and three loops (D, anti-codon, and T loops).
Source: Rfam by way of RNAcentral
UCCUGGGUGGUCCAGCGGUUAGGACUUGGCACUCUCACUGCUGUGGCCUGGGUUCAAGCCCUGAUCAGGGA